Molecule: non-coding RNA, 30 nt
Filed under: Rattus norvegicus (Norway rat)
Lineage: Eukaryota; Metazoa; Chordata; Mammalia; Rodentia; Muridae
Source: RNAcentral
UACUUGAACAAUGAGCUAGCUCUUCUGGGU